GCCCGACAGAUCAACAUCCACAACCUGACGUCGUUCUAUGACAGCGACGUCUUCCGCUCCAACAAGUUCAGCCACGACGGGAAGAAGAAACUGAUCCUGCAGCAGUUCUGAGCGGCGUCCAAUCAUCAGGAGGAGGGGGCGGGGCUACCAGUAGCUCCAGAAUAAUACUGGAGGAAGCAGACGAGUCAUCUUAUGACCCAGAGUUAACUCAGAGAGGUGGACACUAGUCACGUGACCAUGAGGUCAUGUUGCUUCCAAAAUAAAAGCAGACAUUUAGUAAAAGAACCUCGAUGAAAGGUCGUAAAUGUGAAAAUAAAAGAUGCUCUGAUAUCUGCUUCUUAUUGUAAGUAAUGUACAUGUUGCUGUUUGUGGAUUCAUUGUUUCUGUUGCUCAUUUAAACAGCCGUCAGAUGUUUCCAUAUUAAAGUUGUUUGUUAAACAUGUCGUGUAUUGAUUGCUGAUGUAAGUUCAAGGUUUAAACUGAUCAUUGUGUUGAGUUUAUGGACAUUAACAUGCAGCUUCUUAUAAGUUGACCUAAAUUAAAACUUCUAUUUCCAACAAAUUAAACUUUUACUCGACAUUUGUUCUUUUAAAUUACAUUAGCUGUUGCAUUUCAAGUCCUUUGUUUAAAGUGAAAGUGGAGCUCAUUUCAAUGACUUUAUAAACUGCUGUUGGAACUUUGCGAGCAGCACUUGAACGCAUCUGUCCGCCGCAGCAGAAACAGCGACUCCCGGCGGAGAGACACGGAACUACAGGCUGCAGGAGGACGCGGAUCCGAUCUGUCCCUCAGUCCGCCUGUCUCUCUGCCUGUCUGUCCCUCAGUCCGUCUGCCUGUCUCCGGACACCGCAGUGAGUCCGCACGCCGCAGACAGGACAGUCACUGCGGCCUGAGGUCUGUCUUCCAUCGGUCUCCUCCGACAUCCGGAGAGAUCCGACCACUGCGAGCCGAGGAAGAGGAGGAGGAGGAGGAGGAGGAAGCACUGCAGCAGACAUGCCGGGCCCGCGCUGCUGCUGCUGCUUCUUCAUCACCACGCUGACCGCUCUGCUCUCCAGCAGCAAUGCCUUCUCGCUGGGUUUGCCCCGGCAGGUCAAACCCCUCGGCCCCCCGCUGGUCUACCUCCUCCAGGAAGAAGGUCCCACCCAGCCUCGCUCCAUCCAAAAAGUACACCGGACCAAACGCAACUCGGUGCAGGAGUUAGUCCAAACCCAGCCUCAUCAGGGCCAGUACACGGGCCGACCGGAGACCCACAAAGCGUCCCGCUCUCAGGAGAUGGACACCGCUGACCUCCAGCUGCUGUCCCAACCCGCUAUGGAGGAAAACCUCGGGGUGGAGGACGAGAUGGAGCGUAUGAUUCACCUGGUGGUUCCUCAGAAAGAACCAAGCUACAGGGGACCUCCUGACUCCUCAGACCCGGAGAAAGAGCCCCUCGCUGGACCGGGAGCCGGGGACGCCUCCCUGGAGGCCUCAGGCUACUAUGGAACAGACAUGGAGGACAGAGACCGAGGAGAGGACGAAGGAGAGGACAGAGAGAGAAGAGGAGGAGAGGAGUGGGAGAUCGACGUGGGCGAGGACAAGGAGAGGACAGGAGAAGACGAUGACACUCACACGAGCCCAGAUCAGGAGGCUCUGAUUGGCUCCAGACGCUCCAACCACACCGGCCCCCCAGCCGAGGGCCGUGACCCCGGGCUACAGGAGCAGCGUGGAGCCCUGGUCCUGAAGGUAAGAACAUCUGUACACAUAUAUAUAUAUAUAUAUAUAUAUAUAUAUAUAUAUAUGUAUAUGUAUAUAUAUAUAUGA
Gasterosteus aculeatus (three-spined stickleback) is the source of this 1797-nucleotide long non-coding RNA. NCBI's taxonomy places the organism in Eukaryota, Metazoa, Chordata, Actinopteri, Perciformes, Gasterosteidae. The record is from Ensembl.